UACGGAGGGUGCAAACGUUGCUCGGAAUCAUUGGGCGUAAAGCGCACGUAGGCGGCCGCCUAAGUCAGACGUGAAAUCCCUCGGCUCAACCGGGGAACUGCGUCUGAUACUGGGUGGCUUGAAUCCGGGAGAGGGAUGCGGAAUUCCAGGUGUAGCGGUGAAAUGCGUAGAUAUCUGGAGGAACACCGGUGGCGAAGGCGGCAUCCUGGACCGGCAUUGACGCUGAGGCGCGAAAGCCAGGGGAGCAAACGGG
RNAcentral lists this ribosomal RNA (253 nucleotides) under uncultured bacterium. Its description in RNAcentral is "partial 16S ribosomal RNA". It matches the Rfam family "Bacterial small subunit ribosomal RNA", at positions 524 to 776 of the family's 1533-position model. The record is from RNAcentral.